Molecule: ribosomal RNA, 750 nt
Filed under: uncultured bacterium
Lineage: Bacteria
Description: bacterial SSU rRNA
Rfam family: Bacterial small subunit ribosomal RNA
Source: RNAcentral
AGGGGAGGCAACCUGGCAAGUCGAACGAAGCAUCCCUUCCGAUUGAAUGGACCAGCUUGCCGGGAAAGGAAUUCAAUUCGGGAUGACUGAGUGGCGGACGGGUGAGUAACGCGUGGGUAACCCGCCCCAUAGAGGGGGACAACAGCUGGAAACGGCUGCUAAUACCGCAUAGCAGGGAAGAGACGCAUGUCUUUUCCUUCAAAGAUUUAUCGCUAUGGGAUGGACCCGCGUCUGAUUAGCUAGUUGGCAGGGUAACGGCCUACCAAGGCGACGAUCAGUAGCCGGCUUGAGAGAGUGGACGGCCACAUUGGGACUGAGACACGGCCCAGACUCCUACGGGAGGCAGCAGUGGAGAAUAUUGCACAAUGGGGGAAACCCUGAUGCAGCGACGCCGCGUGAGUGAAGAAGUAUUUCGGUAUGUAAAGCUCUGUCAGCAGGGAAGAAAAUGACGGUACCUGACCAAGAAGCCCCGGCUAACUACGUGCCAGCAGCCGCGGUAAUACGUAGGGGGCAAGCGUUAUCCGGAUUUACUGGGUGUAAAGGGAGCGCAGACGGCAGUGCAAGUCCGGAGUGAAAGCCCGGGGCCCAACCCCGGGACUGCUCUGGAAACUGUACGGCUGGAGUGCCGGAGAGGUAAGCGGAAUUCCUAGUGUAGCGGUGAAAUGCGUAGAUAUUAGGAGGAACACCAGUGGCGAAGGCGGCUUACUGGACGGUAACUGACGUUGAGGCUCGAAAGCGUGGGGAGCAAAC